UGCGGCAGCUAAUCCAGGGCGGAGCAGGGCAGGGAUGCCAGCACCAUGGCAGCCCCACUGGCGCCAGGAGCAUCGUGCUGCACCAGCGAGGCAAAAUCCUCCUACUCUAAAUAGAGAUGUAGGGAACGUGAGUUGAAUUAGCCAACUGGACAAAAAAUCAGGUUUCAGUAGUAACAAGGUUUUUCCAUUUGUACGCAACACUAUGUGUUACACAUGGACAGUUAACUUGAGGAUAAAGGUUCUAAAAUGCAAGAAAGCUCUGUGAUAAUCAUAUCAACAGUUCAACCCCGUGAUUUUACUCCAAAAUUGAUGUAUAAACAGGGACUGAUACAGAGUAACUUGCUAAAUCCAUCUUUAUCCUGAUUUGGGUUUGCCCAAUUUUCUGGCCUGACUGUCAUUUGCUAACAUUUUUUUUACCUCCUCAUUGUAUUUUACUGAAAGGUUACUUAUUUGGUAAGUCAAAACGCUUCCUAUUGCUGUUAGUUCUGAACACAUUUUUAGGCGCUAUGUGGGCAUUCUAGGGGUUUAUACAACGAAGGCAUGUUUUGUUUAUUUCACCAGUCAGUUUAAAUCCUUACUGUACAUGUGCCAAGAUGUCUAUUUCUUAUAAUUUAUGUACAAAGCUUGCUAUUUCUGUUUGGUAUCAGAAAGCUCAUAUAUCUCAAAUGGAAUAGUUUAUGAGAGGAACAAAGAAGAAAGGAUGAUGAUAUAUUAUUUUUUUGCUUUUGAAUUGUAAUUUAUAUGCUUACAAUAUUAUACCAAAGUACGUGUUACAGGGUUUAUUCAAAUCAAUAGUUUUUCAUGUAAUACUAGACUGACCUCUACAUUUGCUCAUAACAUUACAGGGUCUGUGACUGAACCUGAAAUGUGCUCAUCGCGUAAUUGAUUUGCACGGACAACUUUUGUUACAUAGGCUGCAAGACGUGUUGAGAGAGAGUAAACGUAUCUAGAACUAAAUACAUUCUCCAUGUCUGGAUUUGUUGAGCCUUUCCAAG
Long non-coding RNA from Lolium rigidum, 995 nucleotides. RefSeq lists it as uncharacterized. The record is from RefSeq and is a predicted model, not a curated record. The transcript is spliced from 2 exons. NCBI's taxonomy places the organism in Eukaryota, Viridiplantae, Streptophyta, Magnoliopsida, Poales, Poaceae.